CCAGUUAUAUCAAAUUGUUAAUGAAGAAAUGAUGAAUGUUUGCAGAUUCACUCAUAUAGCUAAGCACAGCAUUUCCACUGUCCUUUUUCUCUCCACUUGAUGGAAUUUUACUAUUUGCAGUCUAUGGAGAUGUUUAAGAAUGAUAGCAAAGUUCAAGUAUGUUCAGUGAAUGUUAUUUUAGACAUCUUAUGUCUCUUUGAAUUCCCAUUGUCUUUUUAAUUCCAUGUGAAACUUCCUUCUGAGAGAUAGUGAUGCAAAUGUAAAUAUUUGCUAUUUAUACAUGUAUUUAUUUGUUUGGGGGUUUUAUUCAUUUUUUCAUUUAUCUAUUGUGUAGAGGGCAAGUAUAGCACUAAUAGAACUUCUCUAUAUUAUUCUGCCAGUGUUCCCUGUCCUACCCUGGAAAAAAUACAUCCUUCCUUUUAGAUUGAACUGUAACUUACUGUGUGCUCACUCUUUUGAUUGUUCUGGACAGAUAUCAUCAAGUGAGAAUUGUGCCAUGUCUGAUACAGUUUAUUAACUAAUAUAUCUAUGACUAACCCAUGCAGGUUAUGAAAGUCUAUAUAUCACUAAAUAUACUUAGCAAUUUAUUGUCCCAUCAGAUUAUUAAAAAAAAAUGUAAAAAACAAAAAAUCAAUUAGAAAGGGAAAUUUAAGAUCAUUAAAUGAGGUAUAUUGAUAUGUAUCUCCAAAGAGAUACACACAUAUGUUUAAGGAGAAAAAAUCAAUAAUACUUCACAUUUUUAUACAAUAUCAAAAUACACUUCUUUCCAUUCUCUUCUUUUACCCACAUGUUGAAGUACCACCAAAGACCAUAGAACUCAAACACAGAAAUGACACAGUGAAAAAAAUUCUGAAUUGGGAUAUAUUACUAUACUGUAGAAGCAAAAAUUGCUUAUGGCUUAUAUCUUUUAUAAUCUAUGGAAUAUGUUCAUAUAACAUAUAUAAGUGUAACCCUGUGGUAAAUCUGAGUUUUCAUUCAGUAAGUAUAAUUCUGCUAAAGGAGAUAUUAAUUAUUAAAAUUUUAUUAUUAAUUAAUUAAAAAGUGAAGUGGUUGUUGUCUGUAUGUGAAAUUUCGUGAGGUGCUGCUUCCAGAGAGAACAUCUUUUAAUAAUUCUCUCUGGCUUUUCCCUUAUAUGUCCUCCAUACUAUGUUUGUAAUUAGUUUGUGUUGCAAAAAGCAAAGGCUAUGCAGAUCACUGACAAAUUUAAAUUAAAAACAAAAAGACAACAUCUGAUUUUAAAGCUGUGGAAAAUGAAUUGUUAUAAAAUAAUAUUAAAGUAUAUUUAAAGAUUAGAGGUUUGUUGCAGUUUGGAGGCAUAGGUCCCACCAAUAUCAAAGUGAAAAUAGAAGUGGCAAUGUACUGGUUUUUGCCCUUCUGCAAAGGAGUAGAAAAGAAAUAAAAAUGUUACAAAUGAGCUAUAAGAUAAGGGAGUUCAACUGAACUGAUCAGAGAAGUAGGGCAGUAAGUGUCCUAAUUUGAUAGGAAAAAGUAAUAGCUUAGAAAAAAGUUGGAUUAAAGAGUUUUUCAGCACAACUGGGACAAUAUGCAAAGUCUGAGGACAUCCUCUGAAAUUUUCUCAAGGGUACUAGUAGUGUCUCCUCAUACUGCUGUAUAUUUGCAAAGAGGACGUAUUUUCUUACUCAUAUAUUCAAAAAAUAGUGUAGAGAAUAAUUUGAAAUUUGAAUACAAUUAAUUCACGCUAACCCCAGAUUAUUUUGGGUUUUUUUUAGUGGGCAGGUAAAUUCUUGUGAUAGUUGAUAUUUUUGAAAAUUAUUUAUCUGUAUCACAAACUACCCCUCCUAGGAGCACUGGAUCUUCACACUGAGUGCAUGUCUCACAGGAUAUAGAUGGGAAAAUUGUGGUGAAAGCAUGAGGUUUGGAGUCUGUGCAAAUUGCCUAUCUUUAUUGGCAUCAUGACGAUGUUAUUUUGACUUUGUUUUGUGAAAUUCUUUUUGUGAUCAAUAUGGAGACACUGAGCAUUUAUUUCAAUGGUCCGUUGAAGACUCCUAUAUUUAUGCCUGGAGCAGUCUUUUCCUGAUGGUCUGUACCACUUGGAAAGGACUCAUGUUGGAACAGUUCUUGGAACACUGCAGCCUAUGGGAAGGGUCCAUGUUGCAGAACUCUGUGGAGGGCUGUAUUCUGUGGCAGGGACCCCACACUGGAGCAGGGAAACAACAUGAGGAGGAAGGAGUGACAUAGGUAAAGUGUUAUGAGCUGACAACAGCCCCUAUUCCUAAUCUCUCUAAAUACACAUGAGGAGGAACAGGUUGAAGAGUCACGACUGAAGCUGACACUGGCAAGAAGGGUGGUGGGAAGGUAGUUUUGUUUUGGUUUUGUUUCUCACUAUCCUAGUUUAUUUUAAAUUGGCAAGAAAUUAAAUUAAUCUUACCCAAUUCACGUCUGUUUUGCCCAUGAGUGUAGUUGGUCAGCAUUCUCACUAAUCUUGACCCACAAGACCUUUUUCCAUUAUCAACAUGUUUGUGGCUGUUGCCUGCUGCAUUAUUUUGGCAAAUUCUCAAAACGUUUGUGAUAAUAAAGCUCUUACCUUCACUUCUGUUGCCAUCUUUCCACUUGUUUUUGGGUGCAAUAAAACUUUGUUUUUCUUGCAACUAGA
This is a long non-coding RNA of Pseudopipra pipra, 2614 nucleotides long. RefSeq lists it as uncharacterized. The transcript is spliced from 3 exons. The record is from RefSeq and is a predicted model, not a curated record. Lineage: Eukaryota; Metazoa; Chordata; Aves; Passeriformes; Pipridae.